RNAcentral lists this ribosomal RNA (301 nucleotides) under uncultured bacterium. RNAcentral's name for it is "partial 16S ribosomal RNA". It matches the Rfam family "Bacterial small subunit ribosomal RNA", at positions 509 to 807 of the family's 1533-position model. The record is from RNAcentral.
CAGCAGCCACGGUAAUACGAAGGGGGCUAGCGCUGUUCGGAAUUACUGGGCGUAAAGCGCACGCAGGCGGCUCGAUAAAUUAGAAGUGAAAGCCUAGGGCUUAACCUGAGAAUUGCUUUUAAGACUGUCGAGCUAGAAUCCAGAAGAGGGUAGUGGAAUUCCGAGUGUAGAGGUGAAAUUCGUAGAUAUUCGGAAGAACACCAGUGGCGAAGGCGACUACCUGGUCUGGCAUUGACGCUCAUGUGCGAAAGCGUGGGGAGCAAACAGGAUUAGAUACCCGCGUAGUCCCUGUCUCUUAUAC